AUGGAUGAAGCUCUACAUAACCUUCAAGUUGUCGAGGAAGACUAUGGUGUGUAUGCAGGCGUUAUAGAGAUUCAGUUUGAGGAAGAAAAGCUUGAUGAUUUAGCAGAUGAAGCCAUGUAUGAUUCAGCACCAGAAGAAGACAUGUAUGUGGAGCAAGAGCAACAAGAUAAUGAGCAAGUUCAUCAUGAAGACAAAUACAAGAAUUUAACAGAUUUGCAAAGGACUGGUAUUUAUGAAGAGUUGCUAGCAAGAAGUGUCAAUCGGAAAUUAAAGAAGACCACAACCAAAGAAGUUGCAAACAUGUUCCAUGUUUUAGUGUAG
Molecule: ribosomal RNA, 321 nt
Filed under: Triticum aestivum (bread wheat)
Lineage: Eukaryota; Viridiplantae; Streptophyta; Magnoliopsida; Poales; Poaceae
Description: partial small subunit ribosomal RNA
Source: RNAcentral